ACACUCGUGGCCUACUGGUUAGGGCUUUAGGCUUGUAACCGGAAGAUUGCCGGUUCGAUCCCCGACCAGUAGG
RNAcentral lists this transfer RNA (73 nucleotides) under Alosa alosa (allis shad). RNAcentral describes it as "tRNA-OTHER". Lineage: Eukaryota; Metazoa; Chordata; Actinopteri; Clupeiformes; Clupeidae. The record is from RNAcentral.